This 112-nucleotide ribosomal RNA is filed under the name Proteus mirabilis. The record is from RNAcentral. Lineage: Bacteria; Pseudomonadati; Pseudomonadota; Gammaproteobacteria; Enterobacterales; Morganellaceae.
CUUGGCGGCCAUAGCGCGGUGGUCCCACCUGAUCCCAUGCCGAACUCAGAAGUGAAACGCCGUAGCGCCGAUGGUAGUGUGGGUGAAUUUUGCGCUUUUGUUUUUGCCAGUU